Long non-coding RNA from Grus americana (Whooping crane), 1025 nucleotides. RefSeq lists it as uncharacterized. Lineage: Eukaryota; Metazoa; Chordata; Aves; Gruiformes; Gruidae. The record is from RefSeq and is a predicted model, not a curated record. The transcript is spliced from 4 exons.
GGGCCCUGCCGGCGGGCACACAAGUCUUGUCUCACCCAAGGUGUAUCCUUGGAGGAGCUUGCGGCAGAGGAAGCCAGCAGGCCUCUGUGCAGGACCUUUGCACUGUGUCAUAGACAUAUAAGAGUUUGUGCCCGUUGCCUCUUGUCCUGUCACUGGAUACCACUGAGAGAAGUCUGGGUCUAUCUUCCUUUCACCCUCCCAUCAGAUAUCUUGAUAUUUGUGGCUGUAAAAGGUGACCGAUACAGGAAUUCAGGCUUUGGCAGCUGUCGCCAGCUUCGUGAUCUUGCUCUGAGCUCUACAACAACAAGUAAAAGAGGAUUCUUCUCCAUUUGAACAUCCAAUGUGCACACCCUUGAUACAAAGGGCUACAGAGAUGAUGACGGGACUGGAGCAUCUUUCCUAUGAGGAAAGGCUGAGAGAGCUGGGUCUGUUUAGCCUGGAGAAGAGAAGGCUGAGAGGGGAUCUCAUCAACGCUUAUAAAUACCUAAAGGGUGGAUGUCAAGAGGAUGGGGCCAGACUCUUUUCAGUGGUGCCCAGUGACAGGACAAGGGGCGAUGGGCACAAACUGGAACCCAGGAAGUUCCAUCUGAACAUGAGGGAAAACUUCUUCACUUUGAGGGUGCCAGAGCACUGGAAGAGGCUGCCCAGAGAGGUUGUGGAGCCUCCUUCUCUGGAGAUAUUCAAAACCCCCCUGGAUGUGAUCCUGUGCAACCUGCUCCUCUGAUCCUACUCUAGCAAGGGGGUUGGACUAGAUGUUCUCCAGAGGUGCCUGCCUACCACUACCAUUCUGUGAUUGUGUGAAUCUGUGAUAAAAAUCUUCCCACUUCUAGUAAAGCUUUGCAGCUGAAGAAGAAACAUUUUGAAUGUUUUAUGGUUUGAAGCUUAUUGCAAUUGCUAUUGUUACAGUUAUUACUGCAUUAAUUUAUUUCCCCUUUAAAAAUCAAAAUUAAAGCUCCACCUACCAUACGUUGUCUUGGUAAAAUCUUCAUAUAUAUGAAAUACUUCUUAGUUUAUAAUGUAUCGAG